UGGGGAAUAUUGGACAAUGGGCGAAAGCCUGAUCCAGCCAUGCCGCGUGCAGGAUGAAGGCCCUCUGGGUUGUAAACUGCUUUUCUACGGGAAUAAACCCCUUUACGUGUAAAGGGCUGAAGGUACCGUAGGAAUAAGCACCGGCUAACUCCGUGCCAGCAGCCGCGGUAAUACGGAGGGUGCAAGCGUUAUCCGGAUUUAUUGGGUUUAAAGGGUGCGCAGGCGGAAUUUUAAGUCAGUGGUGAAAUCCCUUCGCUCAACGGAGGAACUGCCAUUGAUACUGAAAUUCUUGAAUUUGGUUGGCGUGGGCGGAAUGUGCCAUGUAGCGGUGAAAUGCUUAGAUAUGGCACAGAACACCGAUCGCGAAGGCAGCUCACGAAACCAAUAUUGACGCUCAGGCACGAAAGCAUGGGGAGCAAACAGGAUUAGAUACCCUGGUAGUCCAUGCUGUAAACGUUGAUCACUCGACAUUGGCGAUAUACUGUCAGUGUCCUAGCGCAAGUGAUAAGUGAUCCACCUGGGGAGUACGCCCGCAAGGGUG
This 541-nucleotide ribosomal RNA is filed under the name uncultured bacterium. Its description in RNAcentral is "bacterial SSU rRNA". It matches the Rfam family "Bacterial small subunit ribosomal RNA", at positions 355 to 896 of the family's 1533-position model. The record is from RNAcentral.